Eriocheir sinensis (Chinese mitten crab) is the source of this 1599-nucleotide long non-coding RNA. RefSeq lists it as uncharacterized. Lineage: Eukaryota; Metazoa; Arthropoda; Malacostraca; Decapoda; Varunidae. The record is from RefSeq and is a predicted model, not a curated record. The transcript has 5 exons.
CCAGUCUGGUAGUUUUAAGAAGCGAAUUCUUACAUCCGCCCUAUUCGAAUCGGCGGGGCAGUGGAGCGCCAGAGAGCCCAAGGUCUCCCAGGCGAGCAUGGCAGGACUGGAGGGCUCCCGGCAGGGCGCCUCGGCGUCCAUCGGGACCCCGACGGAGGUGCCGGAGAUCUUUCGGCUACAACGCCGGGCAGGUGGGGCUCGUUAGCCGUGGUAGGCAAUCUGCCUAGGAGAGCAAACUCCGAACAACAAACCAGGGCAGGUGAGGUUCGUUAGCCGUGGUAGGCAAUUCACCUACUAAAAAAGUAGGAGAGCAAACUCCGAACAAUAAACCCGGGCAGGUUGGGCUCGUGAGCCGUCAUAGGUAAUACACCUAGGAGAGCAAACUCCGAUCAUAAAACCCGGGCAGGUUGGGCUCGUGAGCCGUCAUAGGUAAUACACCUAGGAGAGCAAACUCCGAACAAUAAACCCGGGCAGGUGGAGCUCGUUAGCCGUGGUAGGCAGUCUGCCUAGGAGAGCAAACUCCGAACAAUAAACCCGGGCAGGUGGAGCUCGUCAGCCGUGGUAGGCAGUCUGCCUAGGAGAGCAAACUCCGAACAAUAAACCCGGGCAGGUGGAGCUCGUCAGCCGUGGUAGGCAGUCUGCCUAGGAGAGCAAACUUCGAACAAUAAACCCGGGCAGGUGGAGCUCGUCAGCCGUGGUAGGCAGUCUGCCUAGGAGAGCAAACUCCGAACAAUAAACCCGGGCAGGUGGAGCUCGUCAGCCGUGGUAGGCAGUCUGCCUAGGAGAGCAAACUCCGAACAAUAAACCCGGGCAGGUGGAGCUCGUCAGCCGUGGUAGGCAGUCUGCCUAGGAGAGCAAACUCCGAACAAUAAACCCGGGCAGGUGGAGCUCGUCAGCCGUGGUAGGCAGUCUGCCUAGGAGAGCAAACUCCGAACAAUAAACCGGGGCUUGUGGUGCUCGUUAGAUGUCGUAGACAAUCCACGUGAUGGGAACACCAGAAAAAGGAAAAUAAAAAGGAACACCAGAAAAAGGAAAAUAUAGUAACAAAACAUCAAGAAAAUAAAAUAAAAAACACAGAUCAUCCACCUUCAGGCCCUAACAUCUCCAAAAUUAUGGGUGAGUCUUUUCUGGGGAGAAAGAGGCUCAUCCAGACCAAAGAACAUCAAAAAGGGAUGAUAUAGAAAGGAACACCAAAAAAAUGGGAAAAAGAAAAAAACAUCGCAAAAGAAAAGUAACAACAAUAACAGAACAACGUCAAGAAAAGUAACAUACAAAGAAACAUCAUCCACCAUUCGGCCCCAAACUAACAUCACCAAAAUUAUGGGUGGGUCUUUUCUGGGGAGAAAGAGGCUCAUCCAGACCAAAGAACAUCAAAGAGGGAUGAUAUAGAAAAGAACACCAAAAAAUAGGGGAAAAAAGAGCAAAAAAACAUCGCAAAAGAAAAGUAACAGCAAUAACAGAACAACAUCAAGAAAAGUAACAUACAAAGAAACAUCAUCCACCAUUCGGCCCCAAACUAACAUCACCAAAAUUAUGGGUGGGUCUCUUCUGGGAGGAAAGCGGCUCACCCAGACCAACGAAGAACAUCAACAAGAGGAU